This 1310-nucleotide long non-coding RNA is filed under the name Heterocephalus glaber (naked mole-rat). RNAcentral describes it as "lncRNA (ENSHGLG00100050182.1)". The record is from RNAcentral. Lineage: Eukaryota; Metazoa; Chordata; Mammalia; Rodentia; Bathyergidae.
CUACAGACUGUGAGCUAAAUAAGCCUUUCCUCCUUUAACUUUGGGUGUCGGGUAUUUUGUCUUGGCAAUGAGAAAAGUAACCAAGACAUGGACAUUAGGUGAAGAAUUUCCUGACUUGACUUAAAACUGGAACUCAGUUGAACAGAAGCAAGCAGAGCUGGGGUUUUCUGCUAGCCUAAGAACUAACACAAAAACGCUGUAGGCAAAGAAACACGUCAAAGGGAUGGGAGUCAGCAGGUCCCACCGGGAACAUGCACCACCUGACUCGUCCUUGCUCUUCAUCUUCUUUGCUCCCUGGUGGCCAUGGAGCCACAGCUGCUGUGAGAGGGAAGAGACUUUGCAUGGCCAGCACUGCCUGCCUGCAGGACCACAGGCCAGCACAUUAGAGAGGAUGCGAAGCACCAGAUGAGGAAACUGAUACCCAGAAAGGUUCUGUAACCUCCCUGCGGUCUUGGAAUGAGUGUAAGAGCAGCUAUAGGCCCGUGUCUGACAUCAACACCUGCACUCAAUCAACAGGGUGAGAAAAAAUAGCCCCAAGGGAAAGACAAUUCUAAUGAGUCACCAGAGGGAGGAUAGGUACUCUGUGGGGCAAGUUUCUCCAAAAUCGUUCAAAUUCUCCAACUUCUGCCAACCAAAAAUACUUGCAAGGUGGUCAGCCUGGGGAAGAGUCAAGUCUACAGUCAUAUAACAGAAUUUUUCUCUAAAUGAGAAUAACUAACUGGUCCAUACAGAAAUACAGGUAAUGUGCCCAGGGUAUUAGGAAAUAAGCCCUUGGCCAGAAGUAGAAGACAUAAGGUGGGGGAAAGAAAAGAAGAUUAGCCUUCCUUUUCAUUAAACCUUUUCAGAGAAAGUACAUCAACCCGUUUCCUCCCUCCUUUGUAGUAAACAUGGGGCAGAGAGCACACACAAAAAAUCAAAUCCACCCAAAAAAGAUUUUCCAAGGGAAAUAAUAAUCUCAAUCCCAGAAUUUGUGCAGGCUGGCGAGAUCUGGAGGAGCAUCAAGGAAGAUCUCAGGAUAAUGGUACUGGUCAGCAAAUUAGAUGCACCACUGCAAUCCCACAAAGCAGCAAAAGUCAACGCCAGUGUGACUUGCAAACUUUGCUAGCCAAGACUCCAGUCACACUGGAGUCAGAAGAGGGGUCGGUGCCCACUUUGUCACCCUCAGUGUCCAGUCUGACCUCAGGCUGGAAAGCUCAUGUCCAGUGCCCCAGUAUCCCAGGAGGCAAAGAGGUGGAACGGGGCAGAGGAGAAGGAAAAAAACGUUGCUGGGGAAGAAAGAGCGAAGAAGGAACUUUAAAAUCAGAGCUCUG